AUGGACUUCGUGGGCGGCGACCUGGUGAAGCCGGACCUGGGGCGGUGGCUGGCCGACGUGGAGGAGCACAAGGCGCUGGCCAUCUACCCGCCGCACGAGGGCGGCUACGAGGGCCGCUACCUCAACCGCCUCCGCUACCAGGGCUACUACUUCCUCGACCUCUCCGCGCGCGGCCUCGGCGACCCCGAGUCCACCCUCACCAAGAUCCACCCCGUCUGCCCGCCUAGCCUCGGGAGGCAGCCGGUGGCGAGGUGGUACUUCCCGCCGGAGGUGGACUACAGGCUCAGCCUGCUGCACCCGGACGCCAAAGGGCUCAUCGUCUGGGUCUACGAGGCUAAGGUCUCUCUCAGGCUCUCGCCGCUCUCACACGUUACUCAUCGGCUCCGCUGUUUCUCAUCGUUGUCUGUCGUGUGUUCGUUUCGUUUGCAGGUUCUGUCCAAGGCCGAGCUGCAGUUCCUGGCCAUGCUCCCUGACCUCCGCCCCAAAGUCAGGGUCAUCGCGGAAUGCGGCAACUGGAGAAAAUUCAUCUGGAAACCGCUGAAGCAGAUAUCGGGCCUUGAGCCUGAUCCGGACGCCGAGGAAUGA
Molecule: ribosomal RNA, 585 nt
Filed under: Triticum aestivum (bread wheat)
Lineage: Eukaryota; Viridiplantae; Streptophyta; Magnoliopsida; Poales; Poaceae
Description: partial small subunit ribosomal RNA
Source: RNAcentral